Molecule: non-coding RNA, 744 nt
Organism: Phascolarctos cinereus (koala)
Lineage: Eukaryota; Metazoa; Chordata; Mammalia; Diprotodontia; Phascolarctidae
Source: RefSeq, a predicted model, not a curated record
AACAAGGAGCAUCCCACAACAACAGUUCUCAGCAACUAUUCCUCAUUGGCAUCCCCCCAGCACGUAUUACAUGUGAAUGAUGAGAAAACUUGAGACCCAAGAAGAAAAUCACAUAAGUAUCAGAGACAGAAUUCAAUCCCAGGUCUCCAACAUUCUUUCCUCUAUAUUAUGCUGCCCUUUAGAAAUAUUUGCAUGUAUACAAUGGCUGUGGUAUGGAGUUUUUGGAAGAUGUAUAGGAAUACCCUCAACAAGAACUUAAGUUGAGCUUAAAACUGAAGGCAAUGGAAACACCAUCCAACAGUAAUCAGCAGAGCAGCCUCUGGUGAAGACUACAAGACCAUGGUCAAUAGGGGAGCAACGUGAAGAAAUCCAUAGCCUGCAUCAUCACAGGCAUGAUUACCCCUCCUCACAUGUACCUUGUCCACAUUGCCAUAAAAGAAGCAACAGACACCACAGGAAGGUGAAGAGCUUCUCCAAAAAUGAUCCCUCCAAGCCAAUCAAUCUUACAGCCUUCCCAAGUUUUAAGGCUGACACUAUCUACUUUGUGAGCUAUAUGCACAUUUCUUGUGGCCUCUAUAAUUCAAAAUCAUCUUUGCUGAGCACAUUAGUAAUGAAUGAAUGAGAAAAUUCCAUGAUAACUGGUUUAAAUCUAAGAAGAAGGCCUUCACCAAAUACUGAAAGAAAUAGCAAGAUGAUGAUGGCAAGAAACAACUGGACAAAGACUUCAUCAGUGUGAAAAAAACA